GACACCCGCAACCAUGUUGCGUUUCCUCCCUUAUUAAACUUCAACAUCCCCGCACCGCAUGUCGGUUGCGGGGAUUUUUUUGUCCGCA
Molecule: unclassified non-coding RNA, 88 nt
Filed under: Azospirillum sp. RU37A
Lineage: Bacteria; Pseudomonadati; Pseudomonadota; Alphaproteobacteria; Rhodospirillales; Azospirillaceae
Also listed under: 1 other name
Description: suhB
Source: RNAcentral